Molecule: ribosomal RNA, 235 nt
Filed under: uncultured bacterium
Lineage: Bacteria
Description: partial 16S ribosomal RNA
Rfam family: Bacterial small subunit ribosomal RNA
Source: RNAcentral
UGUCCUACGGGAGGCAGCAGUAGGGAAUCUUCCACAAUGGACGAAAGUCUGAUGGAGCAACGCCGCGUGAGUGAAGAAGGGUUUCGGCUCGGAAAGCUCUUUUGGUAGGGAAGAAAGAUAGAGGUAGUAACUGGCCUUUUUUUGACGGUAAUUACUUAGAAAGUCACGGCUAACUACCUGCCAGCAGCCGCGGGAAUACGUAGGUGGCAAGCGUUGUCCGGAUUUAUUGGGCGUA